UACAGAGGGGGCAAGCGUUAUUCGGAAUUAUUGGGCGUAAAGGGCGCGUAGGCGGUUCUUCAAGUCUCUCGUGAAAUCCCUCGGCUUAACUGAGGACGUGCGGGAGAUACUGAAGGGCUUGAGUCCGGAAGAGGGUGGUGGAAUUCCCAGUGUAGCGGUGAAAUGCGUAGAUAUUGGGAGGAACACCGGUGGCGAAGGCGGAUCUCUGGGCCGUAACUGACGCUGAGGAGCGAAAGCAUGGGGAGCGAACAGG
RNAcentral lists this ribosomal RNA (253 nucleotides) under uncultured bacterium. Its description in RNAcentral is "partial 16S ribosomal RNA". It matches the Rfam family "Bacterial small subunit ribosomal RNA", at positions 524 to 776 of the family's 1533-position model. The record is from RNAcentral.